Salmo salar (Atlantic salmon) is the source of this 537-nucleotide non-coding RNA. Lineage: Eukaryota; Metazoa; Chordata; Actinopteri; Salmoniformes; Salmonidae. The record is from RefSeq and is a predicted model, not a curated record.
UGCCGACGUGGAUAACAGUAUCCCUAUACUCUCUACACUCACCAGUUUUAGCCUUCGCCAGCACCAGCUUCAGAAUAGCCUUAACAUCGGUAGCCCUGCACCCUGUCUGAGGCUGGAACCCUACUGGCAGCACUUGACUACAGCCUUUGUAACCAUCAUCCAACCUUGGAGAACGCAUAGGGCAACAUGAUCUAAAGAAGACUCUACAAUAGCAAGCUUCGAAGGUGAAGUGUCUACGCAUUGAAAACUACAAAGGACUACAUUGACAUCCCAGAGCUUCAGAGAGAAGUGUUGAGAAGACUGGGCUCUCAAUUGGGGCUACCAAGGAGAAUGAUCCUGUGAUCAGAUGACCCAAGACUCCCUGAAGUGCCACACCAACAAUGGCUGAGCUGCUACAACUUCGAGAAGUCACCACGCAACACAGGGUGCAGUAAGCUGGGAAGGACUGGAGAUUUCCUUGCUGUCAGAUUUGGUGGUUCCCGGGAGGUGUGAAAAUAUACAGAGUACUCAGAAUUGUUGUUAAAAGUGGUGGGCCUA